UACCAGACUCCUACGGGAGGCAGCAGUGAGGAAUAUUGGUCAAUGGGCGCGAGCCUGAACCAGCCAAGUCGCGUGAGGGAGGACGGCCCUACGGGUUGUAAACCUCUUUUGCCGGGGAGCAACGGGCGUCACGUGUGGCGCCACUGAGAGUACCCGGAGAAAAAGCAUCGGCUAACUCCGUGCCAGCAGCCGCGGUAAUACGGAGGAUGCGAGCGUUAUCCGGAUUUAUUGGGUUUAAAGGGUGCGUAGGCGGACGCUUAAGUCAGCGGUAAAAUUGCGGGGCUCAACCUCGUCGAGCCGUUGAAACUGGGUGCCUUGAGUGGGCGAGAAGUACGCGGAAUGCGUGGUGUAGCGGUGAAAUGCAUAGAUAUCACGCAGAACUCCGAUUGCGAAGGCAGCAUACCGGCGCCCGACUGACGCUGAAGCACGAAAGCGUGGGUAUCGAACAGGAUUAGAUACCCUGGUAUC
RNAcentral lists this ribosomal RNA (468 nucleotides) under uncultured bacterium. RNAcentral's name for it is "bacterial SSU rRNA". It matches the Rfam family "Bacterial small subunit ribosomal RNA", at positions 329 to 795 of the family's 1533-position model. The record is from RNAcentral.